CCCUUAGAUGUUCUGGGCCGCACGCGCGCUACACUGACGAAGUCAGCGAGCAUCUCCUACGCCGAAAGGUGCGGGGAAUCUUGUGAAACUUUGUCGUGCUGGGAUUGAUUUUUGAAAUUCUUGAUCAUCAACGAGGAAUUCCUAGUAAGCGCAAGUCAGCAGCUUGCGUUGAUUACGUCCCUGCCCUUUGUACACACCGCCCGUCGCUACUACCGAUUGAAUGGUUUAGUGAGAUUUUUGGACUGGAACUCUCUUGUUCAGCAAUGAACGAGAGGGACUCUGGGAAGCUAUUCUAACUGUAUCAUUUAGAGGAAGUAAAAGUCGUAACA
RNAcentral lists this ribosomal RNA (329 nucleotides) under uncultured eukaryote. RNAcentral describes it as "partial 18S ribosomal RNA". It matches the Rfam family "Eukaryotic small subunit ribosomal RNA", at positions 1470 to 1796 of the family's 1831-position model. The record is from RNAcentral.